Molecule: unclassified non-coding RNA, 181 nt
Filed under: uncultured fungus
Lineage: Eukaryota; Fungi
Description: sequence contains ITS1
Source: RNAcentral
UUGUUUAAAUUUACUUAAACUCCGACGCAAAGAUGCAGGGUUUGAAGGCCUCCGGGGGCGCUCGCCGACGCGAAUCGGCAGGGUCGCCCCCGAAGCAACAAGUUGUGUUCACAAAGGGUUGGAGGUCGAGCCCGAGGGCCCUCACUCAGUAAUGAUCCCUCCGCAGGUUCACCUACGGAGA